This 253-nucleotide ribosomal RNA is filed under the name uncultured bacterium. RNAcentral's name for it is "partial 16S ribosomal RNA". It matches the Rfam family "Bacterial small subunit ribosomal RNA", at positions 524 to 776 of the family's 1533-position model. The record is from RNAcentral.
UACAGAGGGUGCGAGCGUUGUCCGGAAUCACUGGGCGUAAAGGGCGCGUAGGCGGCUGGGUAAGCGCGUGGUGAAAGUCCGGGGCUCAACCCCGGAUCGGCCAUGCGAACUGUCCAGCUGGAGCACGGUAGAGGCACAUGGAAUUCCGGGUGUAGCGGUGAAAUGCGCAGAUAUCAGGAGGAACACCGGUGGCGAAGGCGGAGCUCUGGGCCAUUACUGACGCUGAGGAGCGAAAGCGUGGGGAGCGAACAGG